RNAcentral lists this ribosomal RNA (78 nucleotides) under Cognatundibacterium curvum. RNAcentral describes it as "partial 16S ribosomal RNA". It matches the Rfam family "Bacterial small subunit ribosomal RNA", at positions 1 to 73 of the family's 1533-position model. The record is from RNAcentral. Lineage: Bacteria; Pseudomonadati; Pseudomonadota; Betaproteobacteria; Burkholderiales; Oxalobacteraceae.
AGAUUAAACUGAAGAGUUUGAUCCUGGCUCAGAUUGAACGCUGGCGGCAUGCCUUACACAUGCAAGUCGAACGGCAGC